Molecule: long non-coding RNA, 414 nt
Filed under: Mytilus galloprovincialis (Mediterranean mussel)
Lineage: Eukaryota; Metazoa; Mollusca; Bivalvia; Mytilida; Mytilidae
Source: RNAcentral
GGAGCCUGUAAUUCAGUGGUUGUCAUUUUUUGUUGUGUUGCAUAUUUUUUUAAAAAUUAUUUUGUACAUAAUUAGGCCAUUUGUUUUCUCGUUUUAAUUUAUUAAAAUUUGUCAUUUCGGUUUUUUUUUAUAGUUUACUUUGCAGUUUGGGCUUUGUUCACGUAAUGUUGAAGGCCGUAGGUUAUAGUUGUGUUAAUUUCUGUGUCAUUUUGGUCUCUUUGGGAGAGUUGUCUCGUUGACAAUCAUACCAUAUCUCCUUUUUUUUUAUAUAUAUAUAGAACGGUAAUUCAUCGACUCUGGUUGAAGAUGAUAUUAAUCAUAGAACAGAUUACAGAAGGAUCACCUAUUAAAAAUUACUGUUUGCUCGUUUCAUCAGUUUGUUUCUAUAUUUACAAUAACUAAUAAGGAAUUCAU